UAUUAUUAUUAUUAUUAUUAUUAUUAUUAUUUAUACACAAAAAUGGUAUUGGAAAUUUGUCAUAUAGUAACAACUUUUUCAGAGUAUCCACUAACCUUACUACUCCACUAUCUCCAUAGCUUUUUUUCUAUCAUCAUCGUGGACUGUACGAAUUCUCGCUGAUCAUAUUAUUUAUAUUUAUAUUACUUUUUUUCUCAUUCUUCAUCAGUUAUACGAGUUUUCAUUGAUCAUAUUAUCUGUCUUCAAAUUCAUAUUGCUUAGUUAUACGAGUUCUAAACUGAUCAUAUUAUCUAUCUCCAUAUUGUCUUUUUUCUCGUCCUUCAUCAGUUAUAUGAGUUUUCAUUAAUCAUAUUAUUUAUCUUCAUAUUGUUUGGUUAUACGAGUUCUAAACUAAUCAUAUUAUCUAUCAAUCUCCAUAUUGCUCAGUUACGAGUUCUCAACUGAUCAUAUUAUCUAUCUCUAUAUUGCUUUCUUCCUCGUCCUUCAUCGACUAUAUAUACGAAUUUUCACUGAUCAUAUUAUUUAUCUCCAUAUUGCUUUCUUUCUUGUCCUUCGUCGAUUAUACGAGUUUUCACUAAUCAUAUUAUUUAUCUCCAUAUUGCUUCCUUCCUAUCUCGUCCUUCAUCGGUUAUACGAGUUCUCACUGAUCAUAUUAUCUAUCUCCAUAUUGCUCGGUUACGAGUUCUCAACUGAUCAUAUUAUCGAUCUAUAUCUAUAUUACUUUUUGCCUCGUCUUUCAUCGACUAUACGAGUUCUCACUAAUCAUAUUAUCUAUCUCCAUAUUGCUUUCUUCCUCGUCCUUCAUCGACUAUAUAAAUUCUCACUGCUCAUAUUAUCUAUCUACUUUAUUUGAGCUUAUUUCAAACUGUAUGCCGAUAUAACAUAUUCAAAAAAUUUCUUUAAUAUAUAGUUCGAGUCGAAAGCAAUAAGUAUGGUCACAUCUACUGUUGAAAAGUUGUACUUGUCUAUGUGAAUGCCAGUGUAAUCAAAAUUAUCAACUGCAACGCACAAUAUCGAAAAAGGUUAUAUUGUAAAUUAAAAAAACUCUUACACACACACACACACACAUAUAUAUAUAUAUAUAUAAUUAGCUCAAUUGGAAAUGAUUAAUGAUUUUAUGCAUGUAGAUAAUGUAUGAUUAAUAAUACUUAAACACUAAUCAUUGACUAAUUAUUAUGGACAGGUCCUCAUGCAGAUAAUAGUUUCAUUUUUUGAAUUCCAUUUAUAUUAUUAUUACUCCAUUAUUUUUGACACGACUUUUUUAUUACUGCAUUUUCUUUUCACAGUGAUUUUGAUAUGCAUUUUUAGAGCCGAUUAUCUAUCAGAAACAAUCACCCUAUCCCACAAAGAAGGACUGUAUUUUAUGGACAAUAUAAAUGUAGUGGACCAGGUGCAAAUUUUGCAGGAAGAGUUUCAUGGUGUAGAGAAUUAACUGAACAAGAAGCUAAGCCUUUUAUUUCACUUAAUUUUAUUGAUGGCUCUGAAUGGAUUAAUUUUUAAUUAAAAAAUAAAUAAUUUUUUAUUGUUUUUUUGGUUUAUUUUGUAAAAUUCAUGUAUUUUGUAGUAGUUUAAAGAGGCAUAGAGUAGAAAAAUCUUGGUGAAAAUUAUGAUAAUUUAAAGGUGAGAUUUCUUUUUUGAUUAAUGGUAAUAACAACAGCAUAUUCAGUGUAUUCUCA
Long non-coding RNA from Capsicum annuum, 1676 nucleotides. RefSeq lists it as uncharacterized. The record is from RefSeq and is a predicted model, not a curated record. The transcript is spliced from 2 exons. Lineage: Eukaryota; Viridiplantae; Streptophyta; Magnoliopsida; Solanales; Solanaceae.